GGGCUCAAUCAAGGAAAAAAUUGUUACUUCGUUCACACCGAAGAGGUCACAGGUUCAAAUCCUGUACCGCCCACCA
This 76-nucleotide transfer RNA is filed under the name Fimbriimonadaceae bacterium. RNAcentral's name for it is "tRNA-Val". Lineage: Bacteria; Bacillati; Armatimonadota; Fimbriimonadia; Fimbriimonadales; Fimbriimonadaceae. The record is from RNAcentral.